Molecule: ribosomal RNA, 465 nt
Filed under: uncultured bacterium
Lineage: Bacteria
Description: bacterial SSU rRNA
Rfam family: Bacterial small subunit ribosomal RNA
Source: RNAcentral
GAGAACGCUGGCGGCGUGCUUAACACAUGCAAGUCGAACGGUGACGAGGAGCUUGCUCCUCUGAUCAGUGGCGAACGGGUGAGUAACACGUGAGCAACCUGCCCCAGACUCUGGGAUAACAGUUGGAAACAGCUGCUAAUACCGGAUACGAGACGGAGAGGCAUCUCUACCGUCUGGAAAGUUUUUCGGUCUGGGAUGGACUCGCGGCCUAUCAGCUAGUUGGUGAGGUAAUGGCUCACCAAGGCGACGACGGGUAGCCGGCCUGAGAGGGCGACCGGCCACACUGGGACUGAGACACGGCCCAGACUCCUACGGGAGGCAGCAGUGGGGAAUAUUGCACAAUGGGCGAAAGCCUGAUGCAGCGACGCCGCGUGAGGGAUGACGGCCUUCGGGUUGUAAACCUCUUUCAGCAGGGAAGAAGCGAAAGUGACGGUACCUGCAGAAGAAGCACCGGCUAACUACGUG